GUACAAUGAGCACAUAUGCUAAAGUUGGAAUGAUUCAGAGAAGAUUAGCAUGGGCCCUGCACAAGGAUGACACACAAAUUCAUGAAGCAUUCCAUUAAAAA
Small nuclear RNA from Colobus angolensis palliatus, 101 nucleotides. The record is from Ensembl. Lineage: Eukaryota; Metazoa; Chordata; Mammalia; Primates; Cercopithecidae.